GUUGACCUCGGAUCAGGUAGGGAUACCCGCUGAACUUAAGCAUAUCAAUAAGCGGAGGAAAAGAAACCAACAGGGAUUGCCCUAGUAACGGCGAGUGAAGCGGCAACAGCUCAAAUUUGAAAGCUGGCCUUCGGGUCCGCAUUGUAAUUUGUAGAGGAUGCUUUGGGUGAAACGCCAGUCUAAGUUCCUUGGAACAGGACGUCAUAGAGGGUGAGAAUCCCGUAUGUGACUGGAAAUGUUAACCUAUGUAAAGCUCCUUCGACGAGUCGAGUUGUUUGGGAAUGCAGCUCUAAAUGGGAGGUAAAUUUCUUCUAAAGCUAAAUAUUGGCGAGAGACCGAUAGCGCACAAGUAGAGUGAUCGAAAGAUGAAAAGCACUUUGGAAAGAGAGUUAAAAAGCACGUGAAAUUGUUGAAAGGGAAGCGCUUGCAAUCAGACUUGUUUAAACUGUUCGGCCGGUCUUCUGACCGGUUUACUCAGUUUGGACAGGCCAGCAUCAGUUUCGGCGGCCGGAUAAAGGCUCUGGGAAUGUGGCCUUCACUUCGGUGAAGGUGUUAUAGCCCAGGGUGUAAUACGGCCAGCCGGGACUGAGGUCCGCG
This 597-nucleotide ribosomal RNA is filed under the name Aureobasidium pullulans. RNAcentral describes it as "partial large subunit ribosomal RNA". It matches the Rfam family "Eukaryotic large subunit ribosomal RNA", at positions 1 to 604 of the family's 3401-position model. Lineage: Eukaryota; Fungi; Ascomycota; Dothideomycetes; Dothideales; Saccotheciaceae. The record is from RNAcentral.